This 631-nucleotide long non-coding RNA is filed under the name Zonotrichia albicollis (white-throated sparrow). RNAcentral describes it as "lncRNA (ENSZALG00000007209.1)". Lineage: Eukaryota; Metazoa; Chordata; Aves; Passeriformes; Passerellidae. The record is from RNAcentral.
GCCAUAUCUCCUAAUAACACCUGAUCUGAUUACUAGAUAUUCUGAAUUAAAUUGUAUACGGGCUGAUUUUCAAUUCCUGUAUUAUUAUCAGAUACUUCCUGUGUUGAAAUGGUUGUUUGGACAGGCUUCACAAAUCAAAGCAUUGUGUAGUAUUAGGUACACUUCUUUAUGUUCCAAGAAAAGAGAGAAGCUCUUGAGCUUCAUGAGAUGGAGUGAAACUGGCUUAGUGAGACAGAAUCUGAGUUUUGACUUCUUAGCUGUCAUGAAAGUCAAACGCCACAAAUCACCUGAGGAAGAGCUGGAGAAUUUGGCACAAAUACGUUCUUUGAAGAACCUAUUGUAGAGCUUUAUGCAAGGUCUUUUUUUGAGAGAACAUCAUGGACUUUUCACAGGAGCUGAGAAGGGCCACAGGGGCAGGCCGAGAAGUUCCUUAUGAAGUGUGCAACACACCGGUUGGGAAAAUUGCUGUCCCUGAACAGACUUUUUCUGGAAAAGAAACAAGAGACUACCUGGAUGGACUAAACAACAGAAAGAAUCUGGAAGAAGGCUCUUUGUAAUAGGAGUCUUCUUGUCAUGGAUCAUCCUGAGACAGGUCUCCAGACCACACACAUUCUCCGCAGCAACUUGAGAG